AGAACGAACGCUGGCGGCAGGCUUAACACAUGCAAGUCGAACGGGCCCUUCGGGGUCAGUGGCAGACGGGUGAGUAACACGUGGGAACGUACCUUUCAGUUCGGAAUAACCCAGGGAAACUUGGGCUAAGACCGGAUACGCCCUUUUGGGGAAAGAUUUAUCGCUGAGAGAUCGGCCCGCGUCUGAUUAGCUAGUUGGUGAGGUAAAGGCUCACCAAGGCGACGAUCAGUAGCUGGUCUGAGAGGAUGAUCAGCCACAUUGGGACUGAGACACGGCCCAAACUCCUACGGGAGGCAG
Molecule: ribosomal RNA, 297 nt
Filed under: uncultured soil bacterium
Lineage: Bacteria
Description: partial 16S ribosomal RNA
Rfam family: Bacterial small subunit ribosomal RNA
Source: RNAcentral